UCCCGGUUCACCCGGGCAGUCUCGCUAGAGUUCCCACCAUUACGUGCUGGCAACUAACGAUAAGGGUUGCGCUCGUUGCGGGACUUAACCCAACACCUCACGGCACGAGCUGACGACAGCCAUGCAGCACCUGUUCAAAGGCCCUUACGGGCGUUUACAUUUCUGCAAACUUCCUCUGAAUGUCAAGACCAGGUAAGGUUCUUCGCGUUGCAUCGAAUUAAACCACAUGCUCCACUGCUUGUGCGGGUCCCCGUCAAUUCUUUUGAGUUUUACCCUUGCGAGCGUACUCCCCAGGCGGUGUACUUAUCGCGUUAGCUACGGCACAACUGGGGUUGAGUCCAGUUACACCAAGUACACAUCGUUUACGGCAAGGACUAC
Molecule: unclassified non-coding RNA, 378 nt
Filed under: uncultured Chlamydiales bacterium
Lineage: Bacteria; Pseudomonadati; Chlamydiota; Chlamydiia; Chlamydiales
Description: contains 16S-23S intergenic spacer region
Source: RNAcentral